UUGAAGGGUUUGAUCCUGGCUCAGAAUGAACGUUGGCGGCGUGGAUUAGGCAUGCAAGUCGAGCGCUCAUCAGCAAUGGUGGGAGCGGCGAACGGCGUAGGAAUUCAUAGGAACGUACCCUCGGGUCGGGGAUAGCUACGGGAAACUGUAGGUAAUACCCGAUGAUCUCUGCGGAGCAAAGGUGUGAUUCCGCCCGGGGAGCGGAUUAUGUGAUAUUAGCUAGUUGGUGAGGUAAUGGCUCACCAAGGCAAAGAUGUCUAGGGGGU
This 266-nucleotide ribosomal RNA is filed under the name Planctomycetota bacterium. Its description in RNAcentral is "Planctomycetes bacterium partial 16S ribosomal RNA". It matches the Rfam family "Bacterial small subunit ribosomal RNA", at positions 1 to 291 of the family's 1533-position model. The record is from RNAcentral. Lineage: Bacteria; Pseudomonadati; Planctomycetota.